RNAcentral lists this ribosomal RNA (1321 nucleotides) under Dascillocyphon sp. n. DDM0038. Its description in RNAcentral is "eukaryotic LSU rRNA". It matches the Rfam family "Eukaryotic large subunit ribosomal RNA", at positions 70 to 1126 of the family's 3401-position model. Lineage: Eukaryota; Metazoa; Arthropoda; Insecta; Coleoptera; Byturidae. The record is from RNAcentral.
UAGGAUUCCCUCAGUAGCGGCGAGCGAACAGGGAAGAGCCCAGCACCGAAUCCCGCGUUCAUCCGGACGCUGGGAAAUGUGGUGUUAGGGAGGAUUUCACUCCCGUGGUUUUUGCGGUGCGUCCAAGUCCUUCUUGAACGGGGCCACAGCCCAUAGAGGGUGCCAGGCCCGUAGUGACCGCCGCAGACCGCGGGAUGGUCUCUCCUCAGAGUCGGGUUGCUUGAGAGUGCAGCCCUAAGUGGGUGGUAAACUCCAUCUAAGGCUAAAUAUGACCACGAGACCGAUAGCGAACAAGUACCGUGAGGGAAAGUUGAAAAGAACUUUGAAGAGAGAGUUCAAUAGUACGUGAAACCGUUCAGGGGUAAACCUGAGAAAUCCGAAAGGUCGAAAGGGGAGAUUCAUUCGCGUUUCGGUGAAGGAGUUGGGCAGGCGUGUGACGGCCGGCGUAAGCGUCGGUAGCACCGUUUGUUCUUCGAACCUGCGUCGAACGUGUGCACUUCUCCCCUAGUAGGACGUCGCGAUCCGUUGGGUGUCGGUCUAAGGCCCGUGGUGGAGCCCGCUCGGACAGCUUGCUGUUUCGGACGGACCCGCGGUGUUUCCCGACCGGCUCGCUCGACGGUAUACAGAUGGCGCGGGGCCGCGACUCAGUGCGCGACCGGCCUGUGGCAAGCUCGUUACGUGUGUUGGCUAUCGGACCUAGUGCCGGUACUGACCCGUGGCGGCUGUUCGCUACGGUGCCCUCGGUCAGACCUUUUGAGACGCCAAUCUGCGACGCUAUAGCUUUGGAUACUUUCAGGACCCGUCUUGAAACACGGACCAAGGAGUCUAGCAUGUGCGCGAGUCAUUGGGACUUACUAAACCUAAAGGCGAAAUGAAAGUGAAGGUUCGUCUUGCACGGACCGAGGGAAGAUGGGUGAUCGCCCAAAAAGUGGCCAUCCCGCAUUCCCGGGGCGUCUCGUUCUCAUCGCGAGAAGAGGCGCACCAAGAGCGUACACGCUGGGACCCGAAAGAUGGUGAACUAUGCCUGGUCAGGACGAAGUCAGGGGAAACCCUGAUGGAGGUCCGUAGCGAUUCUGACGUGCAAAUCGAUCGUCGGAACUGGGUAUAGGGGCGAAAGACUAAUCGAACCAUCUAGUAGCUGGUUCCCUCCGAAGUUUCCCUCAGGAUAGCUGGCGCUCGUUGCGCACGAGUCUCAUCCGGUAAAGCGAAUGAUUAGAGGCAUUGGGGUCGAAACGGCCUCAACCUAUUCUCAAACUUUAAAUGGGUGAGAUCUCCGGCUUGCUCGAACUAUGAAGCCGCGAGACACGAUCAGAGUGCCAAG